UGUGUAUAAGAGUCAGGUGAGUCAUCGAAUCUUUGAACGCACAUUGCGCCCUUCGGUAUUCCGUUGGGCAUGCCUGUUCGAGCGUCAUCGAAGACCCUUCAAGCUCCGCUUGGCGUUGGGCGUCUGUUCGCGCCUCCGUGCGUGCGACUCGCCUCGAAUGUAUUGGCAGCCGGCGGGUCGGCCUCGCGCGCAGCACAUUGCGCAGACUCCGGCCCGCCGCCUCCCCACCAAGCCGCAUCAGUCUGACCUCGGAUCAGGUAGGGAUACCCGCUGAACUUAAGCAUAUCAAUAAGCGGAGGA
This 300-nucleotide unclassified non-coding RNA is filed under the name uncultured Pleosporales. RNAcentral describes it as "sequence contains 5.8S rRNA gene, ITS2". The stretch from base 1 to 87 matches the Rfam family "5.8S ribosomal RNA", at positions 66 to 154 of the family's 154-position model. The record is from RNAcentral. Lineage: Eukaryota; Fungi; Ascomycota; Dothideomycetes; Pleosporales.